CGUGCGGUCCUAUUUUGUUGGUUUCUAGGAUCGCCGUAAUGAUUAAUAGGGAUAGUUGGGGGCAUUCGUAUUCAAUUGUCAGAGGUGAAAUUCUUGGAUUUAUUGAAGACGAACUACUGCGAAAGCAUUUGCCAAGGAUGUUUUCAUUGAUCAAGAACGAAGGUUAGGGGAUCGAAAACGAUCAGAUACCGUUGUAGUCUUAACAGUAAACGAUGCCGACUAGGGAUCGGAUGAGGUUUUUAAUGACUCAUUCGGCACCUGAAGAGAAAUCUUUAAGUCAGGUUCGGGGGGGAGUAUGGUCGCAAGGCUGAAACUUAAAGGAAUUGACGGAAGGGCACCACCAGGUGUGGAGCCUGCGGCUUAAUUUGACUCAACACGGGGAAACUCACC
RNAcentral lists this ribosomal RNA (390 nucleotides) under fungal sp. RNAcentral describes it as "SSU rRNA". It matches the Rfam family "Eukaryotic small subunit ribosomal RNA", at positions 827 to 1219 of the family's 1831-position model. Lineage: Eukaryota; Fungi. The record is from RNAcentral.